UGAUUCGAGGACCAUAACCUCAUUUUAUAUUGACAAACUUUUGUAAUUUUUAUUUCAUCCAUCAUAAAAUGAGAAUAUUACAAAAAUGGUAUCUGCACAUUACAAACUCAUACUUAAACUCGAUGCAUUAAGACCCAAUAUUGUUUAAGCAUAUUUGAUCAUUUUAAACGAACCCAUAAAAUUGAUAGUCUGAUACGAAUACCAAAGCCUACAUUAAACCCACAUUCAGAAAAAUUCAACAUAAAUCUCUAUACAUUUAAAAUUUUUCUAAAUAAAUACUUAAAAUUAAAAACUAGUGAAAGUCAUGUUCAGGCCAUAUGUCAUUCAUUAGUUGCUUAUUGAUGAUGUGAAAUUUUUUUUCCAUGUCGUCAUAUUAAAAAAAUUUUCAAGUUCUUUUCCUUUUUCUUCUUCUCCUUCUCGUCACAAUAACUAUUCCAUUCUGCAACUUAGACUUCUUAUACUGCGAAGAUUAUACUCCUAUAUUUGAUCUGGACAUUUAGCUUUCGACCAAUCAAAUAUACUUUGUCCUUCUAAAUUUUAAGUUUUAGCAGCACAUGAGGACAUCAAACAUGACAACUAUAGCCAUCAAAU
RNAcentral lists this long non-coding RNA (591 nucleotides) under Carica papaya (papaya). RNAcentral's name for it is "long non-coding RNA (CPAP_LNC003910)". The record is from RNAcentral. Lineage: Eukaryota; Viridiplantae; Streptophyta; Magnoliopsida; Brassicales; Caricaceae.